This 368-nucleotide transfer-messenger RNA is filed under the name Microbacterium mitrae. RNAcentral describes it as "Standard tmRNA". It matches the Rfam family "transfer-messenger RNA". Rfam says of the family: Bacterial tmRNA, also known as 10Sa RNA or SsrA, is named for its dual tRNA and mRNA-like properties. Its role is to liberate the mRNA from a stalled ribosome. Lineage: Bacteria; Bacillati; Actinomycetota; Actinomycetes; Micrococcales; Microbacteriaceae. The record is from Rfam by way of RNAcentral.
GGGGAUGAUCGGUUUCGACAUUGCUUGCGAAUCUGCGAGAAGCGGGCCAAGGAUGCCGGGUUAUCUUGUGAACGCUCCCGGCAAAAACUAAGUGCAGAUGCAAAGCGCACUGACUUCGCCCUCGCUGCUUAAGCGAGCCCGAUAGUCCGUCAGGCCGUAGGCGACCCCGCUACGGAUCCUGGCGUCAUUUAGGGGUCUAGCUGCACAGAGGAGUCUGGACUCUGUGUGGGACAUCUACAGACUGGGCUUGUCGACUUAGGUGUUUGUGGCAAAGGUCGGAGCCGAGUAGAACGUUUUCACAAACUGCGCCCGGAGAAGCCCCAGAGACUCAGCGAUGGACGGGGGUUCGAUUCCCCCCAUCUCCACCA